RNAcentral lists this ribosomal RNA (255 nucleotides) under uncultured bacterium. RNAcentral describes it as "partial 16S ribosomal RNA". It matches the Rfam family "Bacterial small subunit ribosomal RNA", at positions 29 to 261 of the family's 1533-position model. The record is from RNAcentral.
AACGAACGCUGGCGGCGUGGAUUAGGCAUGCAAGUCGAACGCGAAAGAGGGGGUAACUCCUCGAGUAGAGUGGCGAACGGGUGGAGUAACACGUGAGAAACCUAGCCUUCAGCAGGGGGAGUAACACUCCCAACGGGGUGGCUAAUACCGCAUGAGACCACGGAUUCGCAUGGAUCUGGGGUCGAAAGGUGGCCUCUGCUUGCAAGCUACCGGCUGAAGAUGGUCUCGCGCCCAUUAGCUAGUUGGUGGGGUAAU